ACAAUCGGUGUUGAAGCCGAGGGAAGCUUGAGGCAAUAACAGGUCCGUGAUGCCCUUAGAUGUUCUGGGCCACAUGCGGGUACACGGGGUUGGUCAAUGGGUUAUUGGGGGGUGUUUUUGCAUUCCUCUCAAUCAUUGAGAGAUGUGGGAAAUCCUUGAAACCAAUCCGUUUCGGGGAUCAUCCAUUGGAAUUAUUGGUCAUGAACGAGGAAUUCUUAGUAAACGCACUUCAUCAGAGUCGCAUCCAUUACGUCCGUGCGAUUCGUACACACCGCCUGUCGAUGGAACCAAGUGAAAGCCAGUGAGAUGGGGGAGGAGGUUUCCCUGGUUGAUCCUGCCAGUAAUAUAAUGCGUUCUAAAGGAUUAACCCACCAUUUUAAGCACACGGAUUAUUACAAGU
RNAcentral lists this ribosomal RNA (400 nucleotides) under Helicoverpa armigera (cotton bollworm). RNAcentral's name for it is "bacterial SSU rRNA". It matches the Rfam family "Eukaryotic small subunit ribosomal RNA", at positions 1418 to 1780 of the family's 1831-position model. Lineage: Eukaryota; Metazoa; Arthropoda; Insecta; Lepidoptera; Noctuidae. The record is from RNAcentral.